This 465-nucleotide ribosomal RNA is filed under the name uncultured bacterium. Its description in RNAcentral is "partial 16S ribosomal RNA". It matches the Rfam family "Bacterial small subunit ribosomal RNA", at positions 339 to 795 of the family's 1533-position model. The record is from RNAcentral.
CUACGGGUCGCAGCAGUGGGGAAUAUUGGACAAUGGGGGAAACCCUGAUCCAGCAAUGCCGCGUGUGUGAAGAAGGCCUGCGGGUUGUAAAGCACUUUCGGUUGGGAGGACUGCUUCUAGCACUAAUAUUGUUGGAAGUUGACGUUACCUUCAGAAGAAGCACCGGCUAACUCCGUGCCAGCAGCCGCGGGUAAGACGGAGGGUGCAAGCGUUAAUCGGAAUUACUGGGCGUAAAGCGCGCGUAGGCGGCUAGAUCAGUCGGGUGUGAAAGCCCCGGGCUUAACCUGGGAACUGAAUACGGACUGUCUCGCUUGAGUACAGGAGAGGAGAGUGGAAUUCCACAUGUAGCGGUGAAAUGCGUAGAUAUGUGGAGGAACACCACUGGCGAAGGCAGCUCUCUGGCCUGAUACUGACGCUGAGGUGCGAAAGCGUGGGGAGCAAACAGGAUUAGAUACCCCCGUAGUC